AUAGUGUUGACAGUGUACUGCAGGUCUGUGUCAUCACAGGUAACUAUAGUGUUGACAGUGUAAUGCAGGUCUGUGUCAUCACAGGUAACUAUAGUGUUGACAGUGUAAUGCUACAGGUCUGUGUCAUCACAGGUAACUAUAGUGUUGACAGUGUAAUGCAGGUCUGUGUCAUUACAGGUAACUAUAGUGUUGACAGUGUAAUGCUACAGGUCUGUGUCAUUACAGGUAACUAUAGUGUUGACAGUGUAAUGCUGCAGGUCUGUGUCAUCACAGGUAACUAUAGUGUUGACAGUGUACUGCAGGUCUGUGUCAUUACAGGUAACUAUAGUGUUGACAGUGUACUGUUACAGGUCUGUGUCAUCACAGGUAACUAUAGUGUUGACAGUGUACUGCAGGUCUGUGUCAUCACAGGUAACUAUAGUGUUGACAGUGUAAUGCUACAGGUCUGUGUCAUCACAGGUAACUAUAGUGUUGACAGUGUACUGCAGGUCUGUGUCAUUACAGGUAACUAUAGUGUUGACAGUGUACUGCAGGUCUUUAUGGUCCAGGUAACUAUAGUAUUGACAGUGUACUGCAGGUCUGUGUCAUCACAGGUAACUAUAGUGUUGACAGUGUACUGCAGGUCUGUGUCAUCACAGGUAACUAUAGUGUUGACAGUGUACUGCAGGUCUGUGUCAUCACAGGUAACUAUAGUGUUGACAGUGUAAUGCUGUAGGUCUUUAUGGUCCAGGUAACUAUAGUAUUGACAGUGUACUGCAGGUCUGUGUCAUCACAGGUAACUAUAGUGUUGACAGUGUACUGCAGGUCUGUGUCAUCACAGGUAACUAUAGUGUUGACAGUGUACUGCAGGUCUGUGUCAUCACAGGUAACUAUAGUGUUGACAGUGUAAUGCUACAGGUCUGUGUCAUCACAGGUAACUAUAGUGUUGACAGUGUACUGCAGGUCUGUGUCAUUACAGGUAACU
Long non-coding RNA from Oncorhynchus tshawytscha (Chinook salmon), 964 nucleotides. RefSeq lists it as uncharacterized. The record is from RefSeq and is a predicted model, not a curated record. The transcript has 3 exons. Lineage: Eukaryota; Metazoa; Chordata; Actinopteri; Salmoniformes; Salmonidae.